GGUCCCGUAGCAAAAUGGCUAUUGCGUCAGACUUCGGAUCUGGAGGUUGUGGGUUCGAGUCCCAUCGGGAUCG
Bifiguratus adelaidae is the source of this 73-nucleotide non-coding RNA. The record is from the annotation of a GenBank genome assembly. Lineage: Eukaryota; Fungi; Mucoromycota; Endogonomycetes; Endogonales.